GAUCCUAGCUCAGAACGAACGCUGGCGGCAGGCUUAACACAUGCAAGUUGAACGGGAUUUGUGUGGUGCUUGCACCAUAUAAUGAGAGUAGCGCACUGGUGAGUAACACGUGGGAACGUGCCUUUUAGUGGGGGAUAACAUCUGGAAACGGAUGCUAAUACCGCAUACGCCCUGAGGGGGAAAGAUUUAUUGCUAAGAGGUCGGCCCGCGGUAGAUUAGGCAGUUGGUGGGGUAAAGGCCUACCAAACCUACGAU
Molecule: ribosomal RNA, 255 nt
Filed under: uncultured bacterium
Lineage: Bacteria
Description: partial 16S ribosomal RNA
Rfam family: Bacterial small subunit ribosomal RNA
Source: RNAcentral